Molecule: ribosomal RNA, 1533 nt
Filed under: Cyanobacterium stanieri PCC 7202
Lineage: Bacteria; Bacillati; Cyanobacteriota; Cyanophyceae; Chroococcales; Geminocystaceae
Description: Bacterial small subunit ribosomal RNA
Rfam family: Bacterial small subunit ribosomal RNA
Source: Rfam by way of RNAcentral
AAGAUGUAGAGGCGAUCGCAGCCUACAUCGCAAGGGAUUCACCAUCCUAUGCCGCCGCAGUAGUACAAAGAAUUAUCUCCAUUACCCAAAAACUCCCCGAAAACGGUACCGAAGGUCGUUUGAUUCCCGAAUUUGAAGAAUCAACCAUCAUCGAACAAUUUGCCUACAGCUACCGCCUCAUUUAUCGUCUCGAACAAGAAACCUAAUGAGCUGAAAAGUAAAAGAUUUAUCGCCUAGGGAAGAGCUCGCGGCUGAUUAGCUAGUUGGUAGUGUAAAGGACAACCAAGGCAACGAUCAGUAGCUGGUCUGAGAGGAUGAGCAGCCACACUGGGACUGAGACACGGCCCAGACUCCUACGGGAGGCAGCAGUGGGGAAUUUUCCGCAAUGGGCGAAAGCCUGACGGAGCAAUACCGCGUGAGGGAGGAAGGCUCUUGGGUUGUAAACCUCAAAACUCAGGGAAGAAGAAAGUGACGGUACCUGAUAUAAGCAUCGGCUAACUCCGUGCCAGCAGCCGCGGUAAUACGGAGGAUGCAAGCGUUAUCCGGAAUCAUUGGGCGUAAAGCGUCCGUAGGUGGCAUUUCAAGUCUGCAUUCAAAGACCGAGGCUCAACCUCGGGCAGGGUGUGGAAACUGAAAAGCUAGAGUACAGGAGGGGUAGAGGGAAUUCCUAGUGUAGCGGUGAAAUGCGUAGAGAUUAGGAAGAACACCAGUGGCGAAGGCGCUCUACUGGACAUGUACUGACACUGAGGGACGAAAGCUAGGGUAGCGAAAGGGAUUAGAUACCCCUGUAGUCUUAGCUGUAAACGAUGGAUACUAAGUGUAGCGGGUAUAAACUCCGGCUGUGCUGAAGCAAACGCGUUAAGUAUCCCGCCUGGGGAGUACGCACGCAAGUGUGAAACUCAAAGGAAUUGACGGGGACCCGCACAAGCGGUGGAGUAUGUGGUUUAAUUCGAUGCAACGCGAAGAACCUUACCAAGACUUGACAUCCGAUGAAUCUUUUUGAAAGAAGAGAGUGCCUUAGGGAACAUCGUGACAGGUGGUGCAUGGCUGUCGUCAGCUCGUGUCGUGAGAUGUUGGGUUAAGUCCCGCAACGAGCGCAACCCUCGUCCUUAGUUGCCAGCAUUAAGUUGGGGACUCUAGGGAGACCGCCGGGGAGAACUCGGAGGAAGGUGGGGAUGACGUCAAGUCAGCAUGCCCCUUACGUCUUGGGCUACACACGUACUACAAUGGUUGGGACAAAGGGAUGCGAGACCGCAAGGUGGAGCGAAACCCAUCAAACCCAGCCCCAGUUCAGAUCGUCGGCUGAAACUCGCCGACGUGAAGGAGGAAUCGCUAGUAAUCGCAGGUCAGCAUACUGCGGUGAAUCCGUUCCCGGGUCUUGUACACACCGCCCGUCACACCAUGGAAGUUGGUAACAUCCGAAGUCGUUACUCCAACCAUUUAUGGAGGAGGACGCCGAAGGUGGGACUAGUGACUGGGGUGAAGUCGUAACAAGGUAGCCGUACCGGAAGGUGUGGCUGGAUCACCUCCUUA